UCUGGUUCUGUAAGAUCA
RNAcentral lists this unclassified non-coding RNA (18 nucleotides) under Chlamydomonas reinhardtii. Its description in RNAcentral is "small RNA Cre_2804". The record is from RNAcentral. Lineage: Eukaryota; Viridiplantae; Chlorophyta; Chlorophyceae; Chlamydomonadales; Chlamydomonadaceae.